AGGGAAGCGAGCCGGCGACGGUAAGCGAAUCCCAAAAAUAAACGUCCCAGUUCGGAUUGCAGUCUGCAACUCGACUGCAUGAAGCUGGAAUCGCUAGUAAUCGCGGAUCAGAAUGCCGCGGUGAAUACGUUCCCGGGUCUUGUACACACCGCCCGUCACACCAUGGGAGCCGGAAAUGCCCGAAGUCAGUGGCUUAACCGAAAGGGGAGAGCUGCCGAAGGCAGGUCUGGUAACUGGGGUGAAGUCGUAACAAGGUACC
This 259-nucleotide ribosomal RNA is filed under the name uncultured bacterium. RNAcentral describes it as "partial 16S ribosomal RNA". It matches the Rfam family "Bacterial small subunit ribosomal RNA", at positions 1243 to 1500 of the family's 1533-position model. The record is from RNAcentral.